Molecule: ribosomal RNA, 893 nt
Filed under: uncultured Streptomyces sp.
Lineage: Bacteria; Bacillati; Actinomycetota; Actinomycetes; Kitasatosporales; Streptomycetaceae
Description: bacterial SSU rRNA
Rfam family: Bacterial small subunit ribosomal RNA
Source: RNAcentral
UGCAAGUCGAGCGGACAGAUGGGAGCUUGCUCCCUGAUGUUAGCGGCGGACGGGUGAGUAACACGUGGGUAACCUGCCUGUAAGACUGGGAUAACUCCGGGAAACCGGGGCUAAUACCGGAUGCUUGUUUGAACCGCAUGGUUCAAACAUAAAAGGUGGCUUCGGCUACCACCUACAGAUGGACCCGCGGCGCAUUAGCUAGUUGGUGAGGUAAUGGCUCACCAAGGCGACGAUGCGUAGCCGACCUGAGAGGGUGAUCGGCCACACUGGGACUGAGACACGGCCCAGACUCCUACGGGAGGCAGCAGUAGGGAAUCUUCCGCAAUGGACGAAAGUCUGACGGAGCAACGCCGCGUGAGUGAUGAAGGUUUUCGGAUCGUAAAGCUCUGUUGUUAGGGAAGAACAAGUACCGUUCGAAUAGGGCGGUACCUUGACGGUACCUAACCAGAAAGCCACGGCUAACUACGUGCCAGCAGCCGCGGUAAUACGUAGGUGGCAAGCGUUGUCCGGAAUUAUUGGGCGUAAAGGGCUCGCAGGCGGUUUCUUAAGUCUGAUGUGAAAGCCCCCGGCUCAACCGGGGAGGGUCAUUGGAAACUGGGGAACUUGAGUGCAGAAGAGGAGAGUGGAAUUCCACGUGUAGCGGUGAAAUGCGUAGAGAUGUGGAGGAACACCAGUGGCGAAGGCGACUCUCUGGUCUGUAACUGACGCUGAGGAGCGAAAGCGUGGGGAGCGAACAGGAUUAGAUACCCUGGUAGUCCACGCCGUAAACGAUGAGUGCUAAGUGUUAGGGGGUUUCCGCCCCUUAGUGCUGCAGCUAACGCAUUAAGCACUCCGCCUGGGGAGUACGGUCGCAAGACUGAAACUCAAAGGAAUUGACGGGGGCCCGCACAAGC